ACCCCACUAUUUGCUCUCAAGGUAAACUCUAAGCACUAUGGUUUUAAAAUUAAAACUUAAAUAGCAUGGCGGCGAGCUUAAAUUUCAGAGGAACCUACCAGGUAAAUGAUAACCCGCAAGAAAUUCUUACUUUACCUAAAAGUUUAUAUAUCGCCGUCUAGUAAUCUUUCAAGAAGGCUACAAAAAGUAUGGUGUACAAGAAGACAGGCCAUGACAUAGCGUAUGGUAAAGACUUGAGGUGGGUUACAAUAAGAAAUUCUUUCAGAAUUUUGCCUAAAGGCAAAUCCAAGAUGGAUUUGAAAGUAAUGGACUAAUAUAAGUAUGUAGUGAAUCUUUCUAAGGUCGUGUACACACCG
Molecule: ribosomal RNA, 356 nt
Filed under: Haloa aptei
Lineage: Eukaryota; Metazoa; Mollusca; Gastropoda; Cephalaspidea; Haminoeidae
Description: Haminoea aptei partial small subunit ribosomal RNA
Source: RNAcentral